UGCCUUACACAUGCAAGUCGAACGGCAGCGACGGGAGCAAUCCUGGUGGCGAGUGGCGAACGGGUGAGUAAUAUAUCGGAACGUGCCCGGUCGUGGGGGAUAACGUAGCGAAAGCUACGCUAAUACCGCAUACGAUCUACGGAUGAAAGCGGGGGAUCGCAAGACCUCGCGCGAUUGGAGCGGCCGAUAUCAGAUUAGGUAGUUGGUGAGGUAAAGGCUCACCAAGCCGACGAUCUGUAGCUGGUCUGAGAGGACGACCAGCCACACUGGGACUGAGACACGGCCCAGACUCCUACGGGAGGCAGCAGUGGGGAAUUUUGGACAAUGGGCGCAAGCCUGAUCCAGCAAUGCCGCGUGCAGGAUGAAGGCCUUCGGGUUGUAAACUGCUUUUGUACGGAACGAAACGGUGAGCUCUAGUACAGUUUGCUAAUGACGGUACCGUAAGAAUAAGCACCGGCUAACUACGUG
RNAcentral lists this ribosomal RNA (468 nucleotides) under uncultured bacterium. RNAcentral describes it as "bacterial SSU rRNA". It matches the Rfam family "Bacterial small subunit ribosomal RNA", at positions 45 to 507 of the family's 1533-position model. The record is from RNAcentral.